This 429-nucleotide long non-coding RNA is filed under the name Monodelphis domestica (gray short-tailed opossum). RNAcentral describes it as "lncRNA (ENSMODG00000032203.2)". Lineage: Eukaryota; Metazoa; Chordata; Mammalia; Didelphimorphia; Didelphidae. The record is from RNAcentral.
UUGUUAGAUGGGAGAGUAUCAAGAUGCUCCAAAGAAUGUGUAUUCAAAAGGAAAAUAAGAAUCAAUAGUAAAAAUGUAGAAGCAAGAUGAUGAGGCUGGGACAUAGAAGAUCCAAGUUUUAAUUUUCAUUCUAGUAUACUUUGCUGUAUGAUUUCAGGCCUGGCCUCCUAUGAGCCCAGAGAAGCAGCUGUAGUGACUCCAUGGGCUCUGGAUACAGACGUGGCAGAAGAGAAUGGAUAGACACAAAGCAUCCUUAUUGAGAAAACUCCCCCUGAGACAGUCUUCUGUUGCCUUCUUGCUCAAGCAAAAAUUGGAAGGAACAGUGAGGGAUGGAGAACUUGGUUAUUUCUGGAGGCAAAAGGGAAGGAACAAGUAGACAAGUAAAGACUGAAAAAUAAAGAAAAAUGUGUUAAAAUAGAGGGAAAUCCA